GACUUUUUCCUCCCACAUCGAUUGACGAGAGCGGCCGCCCCUGCCGCCCCUGCCGCACUGCCCUCCUAACGUCCCGGCCGCCACUACCGUCCCGGCCGCGCCCUGGGUUCGUCGUGUUGUAAAUUUCUUCGUCCCGGCCGCCCCUGCCGUCGAUGCCCCUCUGCCCCGCCGCUCGCGGAGACGCAACCGCCGUCGUCGGUCCAGACAAAGCAGCCGCCGCGUCGCUGCGGCCCCUGCUGAUGUCGCUGCGGCCCCUGCUUCAGUUAAUACUAACGUGAACCAGCUGGCCUCAGCUGGCCUACUAACAGAGUUUUCUUCACUUAUCGUCGUCAUACUGGCCUUUAAUUUCGCCCUUACAAACAUGGGUUUGGGUAUAAAUGUAUGUUUGCUGGUUUCCUUAGUGUUCAAAAUAAUUAACACGUGCUGGUGUUUAGCGGUGAACUCAGACAAGAAAGAGAACAGGGGGAAUUUUAAGUGUCAAUGUCUUAUGUCCCAAAUACUGUCUGGUCUGGUGAUGUGUUUCACCAUUGGCGUGGCAAAAUUGACGAAUGACGGUCUUUUUUUCAAAAACGCCACUCAAGGGGGGGGGGGGAAUUGAUGUUUUCUUUUUGGCGGUGGUGAUCUAAUGAUUCCCGAAAAAUGAUUUUGUAUUUUUUCUCUUUGUUUUUUUUCUUAUGACCAUAUUAACCUAGCAUUCGUUCGUUUCCACCAACCAACACUCUGCUCCGGAAUACUCUGCCUCUCCUUCCUAUGUAACCCCGGGCACCCUUUUGCCUUUAUUACGAAUUCGUGUUCUUACGCCGCCUCAAGAUCUUUUAAUGGAAAACACUGGACGCGCUGACGUUUAUUGUGUGUUGGGCACAGGAGAUUGUCAGGCCACAGAAAUGUACCACUACGCGGAUGCAACACCUGAUUUUUAUUCCAACAGUUACUGUUCCGAUUCGUUCGCUAGUAUUGAAUAAAACAAAAAUUUAUGGUAA
This is a long non-coding RNA of Daphnia pulex (common water flea), 980 nucleotides long. RefSeq lists it as uncharacterized. NCBI's taxonomy places the organism in Eukaryota, Metazoa, Arthropoda, Branchiopoda, Diplostraca, Daphniidae. The transcript has 3 exons. The record is from RefSeq and is a predicted model, not a curated record.